UGCGUAGGGUGCGAGCGUUGUCCGGAAUUAUUGGGCGUAAAGAGCUCGUAGGCGGUCUGUCGCGUCUGCUGUGAAAACCCGAGGCUCAACCUCGGGCCUGCAGUGGGUACGGGCAGACUAGAGUGCGGUAGGGGAGACUGGAAUUCCUGGUGUAGCGGUGAAAUGCGCAGAUAUCAGGAGGAACACCGGUGGCGAAGGCGGGUCUCUGGGCCGAUACUGACGCUGAGGAGCGAAAGCGUGGGGAGCGAACAGG
This 253-nucleotide ribosomal RNA is filed under the name uncultured bacterium. RNAcentral's name for it is "partial 16S ribosomal RNA". It matches the Rfam family "Bacterial small subunit ribosomal RNA", at positions 524 to 776 of the family's 1533-position model. The record is from RNAcentral.